UGGAGGCCAAGCCCUAUCAGAGGGGGUUGGGUAUGGAGGCCAGCAGGGAAUGGUGCGGGAGGCGAGGGGCGCUACUCACUGGAUGUAUGGGCUGCAGCCCUGGCAUGGUCAGGCUCAGCUCUCUAUCCCCUUAGCUUGGUGGGGAGCUGUGCAGAGGAGCACAGUCUUGGUGCUGCCAGAGAGCUAGAAGGGCCUUUUUCUGUGGUUCCCCUAGCCGGACGGGGUGCCUGUGCCUGCUGCAUCAGCUUUAGAUAGGCUGCCCUAGCCCAUCCUCGUGCUUCCCAAGAUGCCUCUUACUGUACCCUCUCAUCCCUGCUGCCCCGGCUUUCUCCAUACCACCCCAUACACUGAGCCAAGGCAGAGACACCUGCUAAACACAAAGGCACAUUUCUGAAGUGAAGUCCUAAGUAUGUGUUGGCAAGGCUAACUCUCUGCGUCAAAUAUUGGCUCCACUGGUAUUUAGCUUGUGAAACCCCACACUCACUUGCCUCUGCGUAUGAAUGGACUUAUCAGAGAUGGGCCAUUUUCACUUGGAUCAGUGUGCAAGACUCAGUCUGGCACUUCAUGCCUCAAUCACCUGGGUUUUUAGAGAAACUAAGAAGCAUAAAUGACCAGAGUCUUCAUCUUGUAAUGGCAGGAAAUUGAUCUUGUGAUCUCUGGGUAAUCUUUUGGAAGGUGUAAAUACUCCAAAGGUCCUACCAAUAUGUUCUUGUUUUCCAGCCCAAAAUACAGCAAGCAGUUAAUACUAUGGGUAUGAGUAAGAAUCACAGCAAUUAAACAUCUAACCUUGUGCUAUUGCUGGAGUCCAUGUAAUUGUCCAUUCAUUGUUUUUUUUCCCAUUAAUCUUAGAGGAACCUACUAGUAGAGUCCUAGCAGAGAAUACCAAACACUCAGUAGCAUGAUAAAAGAUCUCCAGAUAAUUCACACAUACCUAGCACAAACCAUAGCAUCCAGUGAGCUUUGCAAAAUGAAGUUUUAAAUCACAACAUAUGUAGGAGGUAGGUCAAUCUCAUUUUAUCAAUAAAACUUUUCUGUGCCUUGAUUUACUCAGGUGAAUUCCUCAUUAUACAGUGAGUCAAUGAUAAAGCUGAGAACAGAUCUUGAGAAGCCUGAUUUCUAGUCCCAUGCUGCAAACACCAAAAUGCACUCUCCAUUAACGUUUUAUAAUUCCAAAAAGUAUCUGGUUUUUCAGUUACUACUCUGACCAAAUAGAAACUUACCCAAGUCUGUGUGGUGCUUCUGUAGACACAGGCUUGUGCUCCUCAUUUUACUAGCUAAACACCUCUAGCUUUGACCAAUUAGCUAUUUUAACCUGGAGUUUGUCUAUUUCUAAAGGAAAAGUAUACAGUACAGGACUGGGAAUCUGGAGUACUGCAUUCCAAAGUCACCAGGCGGUUUGCUUGAGGGGCUGCCUAUACAAAUGUUUCAGUGCACAAUUAGUCUUAAUCAGUUCAGUUGGACUUCUCAUGUCAAUAAAGUUAUGUUGGUGCUUGAGCAUUUGCUGGAUUGAGCUCUUGGUGGGAAUUUUCUUGUUUAUAAUAUUCCUUUGGAGACCAACUAGUAUCUUAUUGGUCUCUGCGACAAUUGGACAGUGCAUUUCCUCCUUCACUUCACUGCUAACAUCUUUUCUUCAUUCACUGGUAGUGCAUGUAGAUAUGGUAAUUGGAAUGAAAAUAAUCCGUUUCUGAGCCAAACCCCUUAUAGUUAAACAGAUGCUAUAUCUGAGAUUUGUACGGAGGGAUUGUUAUAAAAGUCUCUGUAUCUUGGACUUAAAAGUUCCAGUGCUUAAAAUCAUUUAAAAAACUGGAUUGUUAGAUACUUGUACUAAUAACUAGGCACUAGUUAGGUUACAUCUGGAGCCAAAGUUCAGGGAUAUUCUGAUCUGAUGUUAUUUACCUAAAAUUGUGUAUUUUAAUUUGUUCUAUGCGGGUUAGAUUAUUCCAAAACAAUAUGAAAUAUAAUUGUUUUUCUAGUGCAGAAACUUCCAGGACUUGAUAAUAUAUGGUAGAUAUUGCACAUAACCAAUUUCCAAUGACUUCAGUGGAAGUUGUUUGCAAACACUGGUUGCAUAAUCAGACUCCUAGUAUUCAAAAUGACUAUUUUUAAAUUAUAUUUAAAGUAAGAAUGGCUAGUGUAUAACAGUGAAACUCAAAUGAUGGAGCAGCUUGAUCAAAGCAGCAAAACCAAGAUAACAAGAAACUUGCUUUAUGCCUUUUUUUUUUGGUAGGGAAACAAAUGGAAACAGGAAUAUUCAUAUACAAAAUUACAACAUCAUGAUUGGUAAUGAAUUAGUGGGCUGUUUAAGGCAUAUUCAGUACAUGUGCAGAAUCAUAGAUUGAAUCGAGAAAGAUAAGUGUGCAUGCCAUAGGAGGGCAGCAUACUAAAUCUGAGCAGGGGAAUAGGAAAUGGUCAGGUCAGGAAAAAACUUCCAGAGCAGUCCAUGAAAAGAGGGUCUCACAGUAAAGGGAAACAAUGAAAUCCAAAUCCAUCAGUCAAGAAGUGAGCAAUCUCUGAUUUAAAGUUUGAGUGUAAGUAUAUAUACAGGAAUGACAGGAAGUGUGACACUAUGUCACUUCUAUUCUUGAUUCUGCCACAGGCUCUCUGUGCUCUUGGGAGAGUCAACUUCUGUGUGCCUCAGUUUUCCCCCUUUGUGAAAUGGGGGAAAUCUACAUGAUAGGAGAGUUGGAAGGCUGAAUUCAGUAAUGUAUGCAAAGCACUUUGAGAUCCUUGGAAGGCUGUUUAUAAAUACCAAAUAUUAAAUGUAGCAUCAUAAUAAGUGGUAUUUCUCUUUAAUGAGAGGAGGUAGCUCAGUAAGUGCUAUUUGGAGUGUCACUGAUGGUGAUCAGGAGUGUUUCCUGUGAAAAUGAUGCACUACAAGCUAGGUAUGUACUUGGCAUGGCUAAACUGCUACCAUUGCUACAAUGCUAUUUAUGCUUGUGCCAACUCAGUGGUACUCAGACUGAGGCUCGUGAGUCGCAAGUGACUCUUUAAUGUGUCUCCUGUGGGUCUUUGCAGCACAGGAUAUUAAAAUGUGAUUUAAUUAGUAACCAGUCAGGAUGAUUUUACUAUAUAGAGAGAGAGAGUGAAACAAAUUCAUAUAUAUAGAGAGAGAGAAACUGUGAAUUCACACUAUUGUGGCUUUUGGGUAAUGGUCACUAAUUUGGCUCCUGAACCACUGAGGUCUGAGUAUUACUGCCUUAGCUCAUAGCAUAGAUGUACCGGUAGAUCAGAUCAUUUUCAUCUUUGGCAUUGUUUUUAGUAAUGUGUGUGCAACUGAGUGUGUACAUGCCUAUAUGCAGUGUAGUAUCCUAUGGUGAAAUGAAAAGGUGGUGAAAGACAUACCUAAACCCCUCUGGACAAGGGUGACAGGAUUAAGGAAACUCCCUUAGCCUCAUUUGCAUAAAAAAGAUGAGAUGGGGAGGCAUCUCCCUUAGCAUACAGAAUGGAGAACAGAGAUUCCAAGGCAAAAACUGCACUGAACUCUGGGACCAGAACAGCAGGAAAGCCCUGCAUGAUGGGGGAUCUCUGCUCCAGAUGUUAAUGAACCCAUGUCUGCA
Molecule: long non-coding RNA, 3557 nt
Organism: Mauremys reevesii (Reeves's turtle)
Lineage: Eukaryota; Metazoa; Chordata; Testudines; Geoemydidae
Exons: 3
Source: RefSeq, a predicted model, not a curated record